GACCUGAUGGUGUAGUUGGUAACACACUUGCUCAAAUUUGCGACCAUUUGAAUAGCAUAACCUAAUUCUGCAAGGGUCCUCGGUUCGAAUCCGGUUCAGGUCA
This is a non-coding RNA of Mycena alexandri, 103 nucleotides long. Lineage: Eukaryota; Fungi; Basidiomycota; Agaricomycetes; Agaricales; Mycenaceae. The record is from the annotation of a GenBank genome assembly.